This 76-nucleotide transfer RNA is filed under the name Bacillus subtilis subsp. subtilis str. BSP1. RNAcentral describes it as "tRNA-Val". The record is from RNAcentral. Lineage: Bacteria; Bacillati; Bacillota; Bacilli; Caryophanales; Bacillaceae.
CUUCUGUUUAUACAGGGAUCGGAUCCGACGGAAUGAUCCUGAUAUGCCCAUCAGACCAAGCGCCUGUUAAAAUGCG